RNAcentral lists this long non-coding RNA (388 nucleotides) under Hordeum vulgare. RNAcentral's name for it is "long non-coding RNA (HVUL_LNC018770)". The record is from RNAcentral. Lineage: Eukaryota; Viridiplantae; Streptophyta; Magnoliopsida; Poales; Poaceae.
GGCUGCGCUGCGUGAGGGGGAGAGGAGGCACUGGGCCUCUCUGAGUGGGAGGAAGCCCACCAGAGAAGAAAAUAGAGAAAACAGCCCUCGACAUUUUAUUAUCUAAUUAGAUAAAUUACUGAGAAAGGAAAAAGCCCACAGGACUAACUACUGAUUAUAAAAUCAAAACAAAAAUGCCCCUGGGCCUGAAAAUACAUAAGCUUUUAAAAUAAAAUGCAAAAGGAAUUUUAUGGGGCAAUUAAAUAAAUACAAAAAAACAAUUAAUUAUUCUGUUUUGUGAUUUAUAUUCACCCUCAAGACCAAAAUAAAACUCCACAUCAUCACAACAUCAUCUCCAGAAUAACCUCUAAACACAAGACGUUUUAAAACAGCUUUUGGGAAGAUGGAA